CACGGGUGAGUAAUACGUAGGAACGUACCUUAUGGUGGGGAAUAACCACGGGAAACUGUGGCUAAUACCGCGUAAGUUCGAAAGAAGAUAGGUGGCCUCUCCUUGGAAGCUACCGUCGUUAGAUCGGCCUACGUCCCAUUAGCUAGUUGGCAGGGUAAUGGCCUACCAAGGCUACGAUGGGUAGCUGGUCUGAGAGGACGAUCAGCCACACUGGAACUGAGACACGGUCCAGACUCCUACGGGAGGCAGCAGUGGGGAAUCUUGCACAAUGGGCGCAAGCCUGAUGCAGCAACGCCGCGUGAGUGAAGAAGGCUCUUGGGUUGUAAAGCUCUUUCGGCUGGGAAGAAGGGUGUGCGGGCUAAUAAAACGUACAUUUGACGGUACCAGAAGAAGAAGCACCUGCUAACUACGUGCCAGCAGCAGCGGUAAUACGUAGGGUGCGAGCGUUGUUCGGAAUAACUGGGCGUAAAGGGCGCGUAGGCGGAUCUAUAAGUCGUAUGUGAAAUCCCUGGGCUCAACCCGGGUCUGGCAUACGAAACUGUGGAUCUUGAAUGCCUGAGGGGGUAAUGGAAUUCUAGGUGUAGGAGUGAAAUCCGUAGAUAUCUAGAGGAACAUCGGAGGCGAAGGCGGUUACCUGGCAGGACAUUGACGCUGAGGCGCGAAAGCAUGGGGAGCAAACAGGAUUAGGUACCCUGGUAGUCCAUGCCAUAAACGAUGGAUACUUGGUGUUUGAGGUUUUAAUUCCUUAAGUACCGAAGCUAACGCAUUAAGUAUCCCGCCUGGGAAGUACGGUCGCAAGAUUAAAACUCAAAGGAAUUGACGGGGGCCCGCACAAGCGGUG
RNAcentral lists this ribosomal RNA (841 nucleotides) under uncultured bacterium. RNAcentral's name for it is "bacterial SSU rRNA". It matches the Rfam family "Bacterial small subunit ribosomal RNA", at positions 100 to 934 of the family's 1533-position model. The record is from RNAcentral.